CGUGGCAGGACCCGCGUCCCUCUGGCGUCCUGUUCCCCGAGCGAGAGCGGGGCUGGAUGCGGCACGGCCGCUCCGCUCCCUUCCCCGAGGGCCCUUGCCUCAAAGCCAUCCUGCUGCCUUCCACGCUAGACCCGGAGGAAUCGGCUUGCUUGCUACCUGGAGGCAUGCACGCUGCUGUAAAAUACGAGACUUCCUUGGCAGUGUGAUCUCAGAGGUUCUUUGCUUGGCGGGAGUGGCACAGAGGAACCGUUCUGCGGGGACCGGAGCUCGCUGCCGGAGGGAGCUGGCUGGAUGCUGCUUAACAAUCCUGUCUUUCUGCUGCAGCCCUUUCUGGCUGGAGUGCCAUUCCA
This is a long non-coding RNA of Motacilla alba alba, 350 nucleotides long. RefSeq lists it as uncharacterized. The transcript is spliced from 4 exons. Lineage: Eukaryota; Metazoa; Chordata; Aves; Passeriformes; Motacillidae. The record is from RefSeq and is a predicted model, not a curated record.